This 256-nucleotide long non-coding RNA is filed under the name Parus major (Great Tit). Its description in RNAcentral is "lncRNA (ENSPMJG00000001968.1)". Lineage: Eukaryota; Metazoa; Chordata; Aves; Passeriformes; Paridae. The record is from RNAcentral.
GAACAGGGGUGACACCACCAGGUUUAUUGGGAUGGAGCUGGGGGACCCCAAAACCGCAGGGACAGUCGGACGGAGCGUCAGUCGGACAGAGGGACAGACAGGACAGUGUCACUGCACUGUGGCCAUGGGCUCAUGAUGGUCACUGCGGUCAGGAACUGUCCCCAGGGUGGUCAUGAUGGUCACUGUGAUGGUCACUGUGGUCAGGAGCUGUCCCCAGGGUGGUCACUGUGGUCACUGUGGUCAGGAACUGUCCCCA